Dromaius novaehollandiae (emu) is the source of this 729-nucleotide long non-coding RNA. RefSeq lists it as uncharacterized. The record is from RefSeq and is a predicted model, not a curated record. NCBI's taxonomy places the organism in Eukaryota, Metazoa, Chordata, Aves, Casuariiformes, Dromaiidae. The transcript has 7 exons.
GCGGGGCGGGGCGGGGCGGGGCCGGCUCGGCGGCUCCGCUCGCUGCCUCGGUCCUUUGUUUGAGCGGAGCCGGAGCCGGAGCCGGAGCCGAGCGGCGCCGCCGGAGGCAGCGCGGGGCCGCGGCCGCGACCGAGACCUGCGGGCGCCGAGACCUGCGGGCACCGGGCCCCGCCGCCGCCGCCGCCGCCCGCAGAGCCCGGCCAUGGCAGGCGCGUAGCCCCCCCCAGCAACACGGGACCCCACACGCCUGCCGCGGCUGUGCUCGAAGACGGACGGGAAAGAUGAUUGGCCGCCAGGCGAGGGGCGCCGCGUGAUUGGCCGGAUUCCUGGAGAGCGUCACGGGAUAGGUGCCCGGGACCCCCACCCAGCGCCGCUGCGGGGGCUGCCCCCCACUCGCACCCCGGGGGGGGGCCCAGCGGGGGCCCAGAGGCCUCCAGCGCUGCAGAAGUGGCUGGAUGCAUCGCGCCGUGGAGCAGCUGGGGGGCCGGGCCGGACGGGACCCCUUCGCCGUGGGGAGCCUGGGCUGCAGCGGGGCCUGGGCCGCCUGCCCCCCCCGCCCAUGGCUGCCCGGCAACAGGUGUUCUUCCAGCAUCGGCCAGGCCCAGCUGCCCCCCCACCUGGCGCCCCCCCACAGCGGUAAUGGCACCCACGCCAACAAGCCCUAUUUCCCCGCGGGGGCGCUGCCGCGGCCCCCCCCCGGGAAGCUGGCCUCGCUGGAGGGCCGUGCAC